RNAcentral lists this long non-coding RNA (265 nucleotides) under Ananas comosus (pineapple). RNAcentral describes it as "long non-coding RNA (ACOM_LNC040179)". The record is from RNAcentral. Lineage: Eukaryota; Viridiplantae; Streptophyta; Magnoliopsida; Poales; Bromeliaceae.
AAAAACAAGAUGACACUGCUACACAAUUAUCGCCGGAUAACUGUACGAAUCCGGAUUCCCGAAAGUGUCUAUUUCGACAUCGGAACCCACUAUCGCUCACCCGUCAUCACCGAACCCCCAUUGUGAUGAUGGUGACCAGCCAACAAGGCUUAGCGACUACUCACAGAGCGACCAAACGACGUCGGAAGAAAUCCGAGCCGAAACCGCGUUCUUUCGGCGAAUUUCACCGCAAAACGCACCGAAAUCGACUCCUCGAUUUCCGCAA